This 253-nucleotide ribosomal RNA is filed under the name uncultured bacterium. RNAcentral describes it as "partial 16S ribosomal RNA". It matches the Rfam family "Bacterial small subunit ribosomal RNA", at positions 524 to 776 of the family's 1533-position model. The record is from RNAcentral.
UACGGGGGGGGCAAGCGUUGUUCGGAAUUACUGGGCGUAAAGGGCCAGUAGGCGGCCAACUAAGUCCGACGUGAAAUCCCAAGGCUUAACCUUGGAACUGCGUCGGAUACUGGAUGGCUUGAAUUCGGGAGAGGGAUGCAGAAUUCCAGGUGUAGCGGUGAAAUGCGUAGAUAUCUGGAGGAACACCGGUGGCGAAGGCGGAUUUCUGGACCAGUUCUGACACUGAUGAGCGAAAGCCAGGGGAGCAAACAGG